Molecule: ribosomal RNA, 602 nt
Filed under: uncultured fungus
Lineage: Eukaryota; Fungi
Description: eukaryotic LSU rRNA
Rfam family: 5.8S ribosomal RNA (bases 251-404)
Source: RNAcentral
CAUUAUUGAAUACGCUUGGGACUGAUGCUGGCUCUUNNNNNNNNAUGUGCUCGUCUCAUUCUUAUUUAUCUUCUCUUGUGCACAUCUUGUAGUCUUGAAUGAACUCUUUCGCAGUCAAAUGCGGUUUUGGGAGGCUGAGCUUUUUAACGGGCUCUUCUCCUGCUCGUUCAAGGCUAUGUUUUUAUAUACACUAUAAAGUUAUAGAAUGUCUUUUAACGAUUGUGCUAGUCGCAGUCAUUAAACCUUAUACAACUUUCAGCAACGGAUCUCUUGGCUCUCCUAUCGAUGAAGAACGCAGCGAAAUGCGAUAAGUAAUGUGAAUUGCAGAAUUCAGUGAAUCAUCGAAUCUUUGAACGCACCUUGCGCCCUUUGGUAUUCCGAAGGGCAUGCCUGUUUGAGUGUCAUUAAAUUAUCAACCUUUGCUCUUUGCGAGUGAAGGCUUGGAUGUGAGGGUUUUGCUGGCUUCCUUCAGUGGAUGGUCUGCUCCCUUUAAAUGCAUUAGUGGGAUCCUUUGUGGACCGUCACUAGGUGUGAUAAUUAUCUAUGCCUUUUGACUUUGAAGCAAACUUAUGGGAAUCCGCUCAUAACCGUCUUCGGACAAC